AAUGGGUUGUUGUUUGGGAAUCUGUAGUGGGAAACGAGACAGAAAACAGAGGCUGAAAGAGACCAUGCAACUACUAAAAUGCUUGUCAAUGUCAGUGCUUGUGAAAAGCACACUAAAUGAUAGAGCACUACGUUCCUUAUGACAAACAAAAGGAAUCCACAGAAACUUGGUAAAAGAAGCAGAGAAGACACUAUUCCCUAUGUGUAAAAUGUGGAUAUGUACAUGAAAUCAAAGGCGAGAAAACAGGAGCCUCGUUACCUUCUUUGACUAAGCUGUCGGUGAAGAGACUGGUGAGGAUGGUGGCGGGCAGGGUGCCAUUGCCCAGCAGAAUCCCCGACAGCAUCGCCAACUUUGUCUGCUCUGUUUCGGAAAAGGCUUUAAGGAAGAGGAGAAGCUGUGGGUCAAAAAAAAAAAAAAAAAAGAAAAAGAAAAAGAAAAAAAAAGGAACCAUGUCUAUGAAGCAAAGGACUGAAGUGGGAAGAUAAACUGUGAACAUCCAUGGCUACGUGGCACACACACAGAAGGUCAUAUGCAAAGCAUAGUAAUUCAUUUCAUGAUAAACGGGAUGCUGUGGAAAGUGACUUGAGCAGGCAGAGUUCCUUUCUUCUCAGUUAAUUUACUCACAGCUGUAGAUAACAUUCACGGAAAGGAGAAGAGAUAUUUGGAUGAUAUGUAAACAGAUGGAUUUAUGUUUGACUAUGUGCAUGCAAAAGAGUUAAGUAUACAUGAUGGACAUGUUUUCUGAAAUGUAUUGUUUUUCAAGUUUUUCCACUUCUUUGGGCGACUACCUCUUCCCCUGCUACAUGUACCCAUUUUCUCUGAAUAGAAUUUGUACGGCAAAAACAUAGAAACAAAAAAAAGCCCCACAAAAACAAACAAAAAAAAACAGGAAAGAGUUGAAGUUAAGCUUUUGACAUUUAAUACAUACUUUUCUGAGCUCACAGAAUACAACAGUCUUCAAAACAAGACUGUUGAGGGAGAAAGGGUUUUUCUAGGUUCUUGAUGUUUUUUGGUAAACUUUUAGAUUCUCUUGCCACAGAGGCAGGGAACUGAAAAAGUAGCAAUCCUAGAAAAUUUGAAUGUAAGCUCAAAGCAAAUAAAACGAAAAACCCACUUCCUGUAUUAAAUUCUAAGAGUAGUCAGCCCUGUGGGAUGCCCUUCUCUCUCCUGACUCUCCUCUGCUUUGUGCUUUGACUACAUUCUACUGUUACUUUCUCCAUUUCAGCAGUUACUAGGCUUGCCAUGGAAAUUCCUCAGGGGCCACUAUCACCACAGGGGCCUUGCUGAUCUUCCAUUAUUUUGCGCCAAUGCAAAAUUCACUGGCAUUGAUAGAGACUUAAGUGUCUCCACCCUGAUGACAUGAUUAUUCCACUAACUGUGUAGGGGAUAAUAAAAUAUUAACUUACUAUUCCCCAAGAAUUGAAGGAUUAUUAUAUUAUAGACUAUUUACAUUAUGUGAAAGUGGCAGAACUGGAACCAAACCAGUCCAUUUGCCUCUCAAUUUAUACCUAUUAAAUUCUCAAAAAAUUAAAAAGAAGUUAACAUCUAAGUAAGUGCCAGGGAGUGAGGGAAUGAGGGAUUGAAAGGCUUAAGUUCCAAGGAGCAUCAGAAAUGGGGAAGAAUGAAAGAACUAACAUAAAUAUAGACAGUUCAUGUCAAUUUGUCCUUUUCCUCCAUUAUAAAAAUAAGUAACAUUUAAACGAGAAUAAUAAAAAUUAGCCUCUAAAAUAAAAUUUUAACACCACUUCUUUAAGCUCACACAUAUAACCAUAUUCAUUUAAAAUAUACUUAAUCACAUAGAAAUGGUACAAAAAUUAGAUCAUCAUAAAAAUAAUAACCACAGUGCUCAAUUAUAUUAAUCAACAUUAAAACAUAAUUACAUGUAUACACACAUAUUGUUUUUUACUGCAUUAUAUGCUAAUGAUAGCUAAAACUUGUUGAGUGGACCAGACACUCUUCUGAUCCCUUUAUGUGUAUUAAUACCUACAACAGGCUCCAUCUCCAAUUACAGAAAAGAACACUAAGGUACAAAGAUAUUAAGUAAUUUGCCCCAGGUCAAACUACUACCAAAUGGUUGCUUUGCACCUCGCAUUUCCACUUAAUUUGUCAUGGGCAUUUUCCCUUAUUAAUACAUGUAGUUAUGCCUACAUGUAUAAAAGACUGCAUAGUAUUCCACUGUAUAGAUAGAUUGUAAUUUAAUUAAACAGUCUUCAUCUCCCACCAAUGGACGUUUAGGCUAUUUUUCAAUACUGUGGUGACAUCUUUAUACAUAUAGCUUUAUAUAUCCAUGCUAAUGGAUUCUUAUAAAUUCAUGACGGCUGGGUCAUGGGUUAUGUAAGAAACAUUUCUUUUAAUGACUAUUGCCAAAUUGCUCUUCAAUAUUAUACACGGAACCACUUUGAACUGGGUGGGGUGGGGUGCAGUUAGGUGGGGAGGAGCGGGGAGAGUAAGUAAGUAGGGAAGAAGUAAGUAUAUGUUAUGGUUACUUUUUUCACUUGGUUUUUUACUUUAGAUAGUUAUCUAAAAUUGGAAGCAAUGACAAAGUAACGAACAAAUCUGAAACAAGUAAAGGUAGUGGGUGCCAUAUAUAAAUACAGGAGUUACAAAUUGGAAGAGGGAACAUGCAAUUACUCAAAAGAGGACAUCUUUAAGGAGAUGCUACUGUGGAUUUCACUGAUGAGAAAGAGUACUGAGAAUUACACCCAUAUACUCUAUCUCCAAAGAGGUGCUUUUAUUCCCUUUGCUAAACUGCAUACAAUUAAAGAAUUUUGCUGAACAUUAGCUGCUGUGCUACGUUCUUUCAUGGGCUUUAACUACUUAAAUCACUUUAUCUAGUUUUCAUUUUAAUCUCUGCAAGGUCAGAGGUUAUAGCCCGUAAAACUAUUCUUACUGAACAAAGCACACUGUCUUACAUUAAAUAUUAAUGGAAAAAGUCCAGAAUAAUCACAUAUUUCUUCCUAUAGCUAUUAGCUAAUGAUCUUUCAUACUUAUUUACCAAAUAUGUAUUAAAAACUCACUAUGUGUUUCACAUACAUGUUAUUACAUAUAUGGCACUUCUGCAAUAUCAUUGUACAUGUAAAAUUUUAUUUUAUUUUUUGAGAUGGAGUCUUGCUCUGUCGCCCAGGCUGGAGUGCAGUGGAGUGAUCUCGGCUUACUGAAGCCUCUGCUGCCCAGGUUCAAGCAAUUCUCCUGCCUCAGCCUCCCAGUUAGCUGGGAUUACAGGUGCAUGCCACCAUGCCCGGGUAAUUUUUGUGUUUUUAGUAGAGACAGGGUUUCAGCAUCUUGGCCAGGCUGGUCUUAAACUCCUGACCUUGUGACCCACCCGUCUCGGCCUCCCAAAGUGCUGGGAUUACAGGCGUGAGCCACCGUGUCCGGCCACUUAUACAAUUUUUAUCCACCCCCAUGUCAUUACUAUAAAACAGAUAGGCAUUACAUUUGAAUUUUUACCUUUUUCAUUUCAUCUUCAAAUGCCUUCUCCAAAUACUUAUAUCUCCUGAUGAGUUUAUUGAAGACCUAAAAAAAACAACCAUUAAAUAUUAGGUCAACCAAAAAGACACAGAAGAGGUAUAGAAACUCACUAUAAUGACACCAUAGAUCUAUAAUAAUAAAAGUGUAUAGUUAAACAGGCUCACACUGUAAUAUAAGAACUAUAAGCAUUUCAAAGAUGCUAUCAUGACCUAGGGGAACAAAUAUGAUCAAAAUGUACACGUAAGAUAAAACAUAUUCAUUCAAGAAUAUAGC
This is a long non-coding RNA of Pan troglodytes (chimpanzee), 3741 nucleotides long. RefSeq lists it as uncharacterized. NCBI's taxonomy places the organism in Eukaryota, Metazoa, Chordata, Mammalia, Primates, Hominidae. The record is from RefSeq and is a predicted model, not a curated record. The transcript is spliced from 4 exons.